GCCGCUUGCAGCCGCUCAGCUCCAGACGUCACCUAAACCCGGCCCGAUAUCAUGAUAUUUUGCGCAUGCGCCCUCUAUGGUCACAAGAUACGAUAGGUCACAGAUUUCGGUGUCACACCUGAAAAGAAAGGGCACGAUAUUUUUCACUGCGCAACAAACUGAAUGUUACGAAACGACAGUUUCUAAACAAACUACAAGAAACACGGCGUCAGUAGCAGCUUUUCUUCAUUAAUUUCUCCAAGAGACGACAAAACUAUUCUUCUUCAUUAAAUCGGAAUGCUUGACAAAACUCCAGAAAGUCUAAAGCAGCUGUAAAAUGAUCCAUAAGCAGCAUCAACAAAUCUCUGCAGAACUGAAAUUUCUGCCUUCACUAAGAAAGAGACUUAACUGGAUACAGAUGACCUGAACACUAAGGAGUGUGGCAGGCCAUGAAGUCAGGGGAGGAAAGGUUUAUUUCUUCUUUUUGAGACGUCUCAUCAGCACUUUUACAAUGAUUUCCAGUUUAAAACAUACUUUUAUUAUUACUACUGUUUUCUUCCUGAAUAUUGAAAUGUAUAUUUGCACGUGUGCACGAGCUGAAUAUGAGAUAAAUGGAGAAUGCUGUCCCAUGUGUCCAACAGGAAGCCGUGUUUUUAGACAUUGCACUGAAUUCACCAGCACAACAUGCAAACAAUGUGUUGGUUUAACUUACACGGAUGAGCCCAAUGGUCUUGCAAACUGCAUUAGCUGUACGGUGUGUGAUGAUGGACAGGGAUUAAGAGUAAAAGCGGCCUGUACACAGACUUCAGAUACAGUUUGUGAGCCGCUGGAGGGAUUUUACUGUACUGAUGAAUACAGUGUCAGCUGCCGAUAUGCAGUGGAACAUACAAAAUGUAGCUCUGGACAAUACAUAAAGCAGAAAGGAACAGCAUUAAAAGAUGCUGAAUGUGCAGAGUGUGCAGAUGGGACCUACUCCAAUGGCUCCCUUCAAAUUUGUAAACCACAUUCAAAGUGUGAAGAUUUUGGACUUACAGAAAUAACAAAAGGGACAAAUUCUUUGGAUGUUGAAUGUGGAAAAAAACUUCCAGUAGCUCUAAUAGCUGGAGUCUCCCUAGUUAUAGUGGUAGUUUUGGCUGGAUUACUUAUUGUUAUUGUGAGAAUGCGAAGGAAAUGGCAACUUAGAGAUGGUACUGUGAGGAAAACAAGACACGAGCCAGAUGGAUGUGCUGCAUUAUGUUUACAGGACACCUUUACUUCACCAAAGCACAGGUAAGAGGCAAUAUGAAGAGAUGCUACCUGUUACAGUUAUGAAAUGUUCUGUACUCCUGAAGGAAGAAAUGUGCAAAUAAAGGGGAAAUGUGUUUCUGAUCAUGGGGCUUCUCCAGUUGAAGAUGACCAUGGAAAACAUUUUUGUGAUCCACAGGAGCAAGAGCUCACAAACAUUAGAAGUGCUGUAACGUGAUCGUGGAUAUUAUUUCUUGAAUUAUACAUGACAUGGUAAAAGACAGUCGGGACACAUGAAUAUCAUCUUUCUUCAUUAAGUUAAAGACCAGUUUCAGUCAUAUUUCAUUUUUCUUAAAGCUGCCAUAUUUAUGACCAUCAGUUUUGACCAUUGGAAUGGAAUCAAUGUAUGCAGAACUAUAUAUAGAGAUCUGCAGUCAGUACAGAUGUUGCCAUUAUCAAAUCUAACAAUCGCAGACAUUUGCAUUUAAUCCACAGUCCAUCUCCGUAUACCAGUGAGAUUCAGAUGGUUUUAAAGUGUCCUGUUUGUAGAUGGAUGGGCUGACAAAAUGAACAUGAAAGAGUUUUCUCAACUCUGUUCAGGUAAGUCAACAGCAGUAUUCACUCAAUUUAUCAAAUUUUAUAAAUAGAGACAUUUUGGUUUAGCAAGGUUACAAGUAAAACUGAAUUAGGUAGAUAUGUAUAUUUGACCAGCAGAAGUGUACAAGAUAUUUAUUACUUUAAAAAUCCACAGCAAAGUAAAAAACCUGUACACUGUUCACCGACAAAAUGUGCUUAUAAUUUGUUAAGCUUUGUUUUAUACAGGUAACAAGCUGAGAUUAUUAGCACUCCCUUUCUCUCAUUAAAACACAAAUGAAUUUAUAACUUUUUUGAUCAGUGUUUUUCAGGAUUUCUUUGUUGUUGGUGUAGUCUCUCACUGUUAAAAAAAAAAAAACUACCAUUAAAACAUACAAAAUCAGCAGGGGAUUGAAUAAAUUUUCCCCUCCCUGUAACUAGCCAGCCAGCCUAGCGAAUAUAACAGUGCAUUUUACAAAGAAUGUAGGGUUUUGGUGGUUUCCAAAUUCUCAAUUGAUGGCUAUUAAAAAAUAUUUUUUCAACAGUUAUUGUUGCAUCCCACAGACCAGCAGACUGAAUGCAUAUUGAUACUAUUCAGAGACUUAUAAUGAAUCGGUCAGGGAUAAAUAUGGCAGCAUGGUCAUACAAUGAUGUCACCUUAAUCAUGGCUUCUCGCAGUAACAUCAGCACUCGAUUAUCUACAUUGUCUACAAGAAAAUUUGCUUUGAAAAACCAUGUGUACAAAGAGUACACUGCAGCUGUUUUUUGCUGAUUGCACAUUUACUUCUGUGACUUGCACAAUUGCACCUUACACUCUUAGCAACUUUAAAAGAAAUAUCACUCUUAACCAUGAUGCUUACUUUGCACACAUUACAAACUGUAACAGUUUCUGGUAUAUACUAUUGUGCAUAUUCUAUAUGUAUGUCAAGUAUUAAUAAUGUUGUUUAUUGCAUAGGUUUUUGUAAUGCUCAGUGAAUAUAAAAUAAUCUUAUAAAAAGAUUAGAAUUUAUCUACACGACUUAACAAGCAAAUUAACACUGCAGUCUAAAUUAUGUAAUUUAUAUUUUAUAAGGAACAAUAAUACAUUUGCCUAUUUCUGCAGUUAUCUCCAGCAUUUUCUUAUAUACUCAAACCAGCCCGUGUGGUACCAAGAAUAACAGCACAGUUAAAGUCACAGAAACCAAACUUUUAUUAUUAUUAUUAAUUCCAUUGUGAAAAUUAAUUUGACAUGCAUCUGAAUGUUUUUUUUUUGCUGAUUCUAUAACACCAUAAAUGUCCAGUUGUGCAUAUGUUCCUAAUAAAGUAGAUGGUGAGUGUGUACAAAGAAGACCAAACAACUGUUAAAAAUAUACCCAAGAACCUAAUGUUCUAAAUCUUACAUUAUCUGUUGUUUAAUCAUCUUUACAGUGCUCUCUGUGAUGCAAUAAACAUGUCCCUGCAUUCA
This is an RNA transcript of Tachysurus fulvidraco (yellow catfish), 3220 nucleotides long. It is a transcript of the gene named tumor necrosis factor receptor superfamily member 14-like, with no coding region annotated. Lineage: Eukaryota; Metazoa; Chordata; Actinopteri; Siluriformes; Bagridae. The record is from RefSeq and is a predicted model, not a curated record. The transcript has 9 exons.